AGCGUGUUUAGUUUGGCGUCCGAUCACCGUGGCGACGAUUGAGCACGCGUCACUGAACGCAUCAACAUCGAGCAAGCCGGACAGCCGCAACGGACAGCUCCGAGUACGAUCUUCGAAAAGUCGUCUUUUAUUUCGUGCUAUUUAUAAGUACGGCAGAAUGGGACGAUUGUUCGCUUGUUUCCGAUGCUGCCUCGUCGUUGGUACGGUUCUGCUUGGCAUCUCAGGAGCAAUAGUGACGGUGUUUGCUGGUUACUUUAUUUAUCAGCUGUACGAAUACGCGCCGGUUACACCUGAUAACGUGUGCGAGUCCGCCGCUGUCUUACUGGCGAUGGGAUUCACAACCUGCUGCAUCGGUUGGUUCGCCUGGCAAUUCCUGAAUUUUUACAACAGAAUGCAAGUUAUCACUUUUGCUGUUGCACUGGGUACCAUUGCACUUAUUGAAACUUGCGUGGGAAUUUGGGCCUUGGUGCGACACGAGCAAAUAGACACCCUAUUGCCGGAGCAACACGACGAGAUCUUCGCUCUCGCGAUCUCGGAUGAGAAAACCACUUGGGACCACAUGCAGUCCACGUUACAAUGUUGCGGCAUAGACGGACCGAACGAUUAUCGUAACGUACAGGCGAUUCCGUGGUCCUGCUGCAACAAAUCUUUGGAUUUGGUGGACAACAACAUUGAUGGUACUUGCGGCAAUAUUUACAAGCGCGGGUGUCAACAUGUGGUUUUAAAUCGGACGAGGUCGAUCCUUCUUCACAUAUUUCUGCUCGCUUUGUGUUCCGUGCUGUUGCAGAUUUCUUUUAUGGCGUGUAUGACUUGCUACGCGAGAAUCUACAAGGACAAGAUGAGAUCUCAACUGGAGGUAACCAGACGCCAGCGAAACGUGAGGGAACUGCGAAACAACGACACGCUUCUGGAAGACAAGUGGAAACGUUCUGACGGACUCUAGCCAACACCACAUCGAGCCGAAGUGACGAACAAAAAACUGCGUUAUUUAAAAAGGAGGCGUUGCGACACUGUGAUAUGCGAAAUAUACCGCGUUUCGCGUAGCGACAAUAUUGACGGAUGUAUACACGGAUAAGUAAUACGCUUCCGGACUUGUUGACCAAACAGCGCGGUGACAAAGUUUAUCGGUGAAUCUUCGAGAGUUUAUCUAAAGAAAAAAAUUUCUUUAAGAUAAACUUGUCGAUAAAGUUGCGUUUCGGUAUUUUUUCCGUCGUAUAUCGAAAACCCCGCAUUGAGAAAAGCAAUAUAUAUAUAAUACAAAUGUAAUAUUCCGACGGGUGCUAAAGUUUCGUGUACCUCUUGUUUUUUACUGCCAUUUUACAAUCAAACGAUCGUACGUAAGUAUUUUACUACAAUUGAUAAAAAAUUUAAAAAGACCAGUAGUAAACAUAUUUCACAACGAGUAGAACUUUUUUCUGACAUUACUAAUGCAUUGUUUUCGCAACGUUAUGAUUUUAGCAAUGCCAAAAGUUACAAGUUUCGUCACAAGAUUUAUUUUAUUUUAUUGCUGCGUCAAUUUAGCGCAUUUAGAAACUGCGCGCUAUACUUUUUAUUUAAAGCUUUUUGUUGAUUUUAGUUUUUAUUUUGCAGAUAUUUUUACAACACGUUGUCGUUUAUUUUUACAUGUAUGUCACUUCUCGCUUCUAACGUCACAAAAUAAAAACAAAAUAUGGCUGCUAUUGAGGUUAGAGAGUCAGUACAAGCGAUCAAAUGCACGGUGCAAUAAGCUUUAACGUUAAUUCAUAAAAAUAGAAUGUUAUCCGAGAAUGCGUCAUUCUCGUAUUAACCACAAAUACUUGAGUCAUCUUGACGUUAAUUAGCGGAAUACAAAUCAAAAAUGAUGAGUUUUCUUUUAAAGGAAAUGUAAAGAGAUACGGCUAUUGUUAGCUCUAGAGCAGCUAUCGAGAGGUAUGAAGAGGUCGGGGCCUUUAGAGAAGCAUUAUCUCCGAAUUGGUAAAUAUGACAUUUAUGUUACGUCGUAACAACGGAUCCCCAUGCGCUUUUGUUUGGCCCCCUCCCGUUACUUCGCAAUCUGUAAUCUGCGGUUCGCGGAUUUUUUUUUUAACAAAACCAAGAUAACACAUUGUUUAUCUACCAUCGUGUUUCUUACGAGAGGAAAAGAUAUUGCGACGAGGACGCGAUAAUCUUGGAUCGCGACACGUCAUUU
Molecule: RNA transcript, 2167 nt
Organism: Pseudomyrmex gracilis
Lineage: Eukaryota; Metazoa; Arthropoda; Insecta; Hymenoptera; Formicidae
Gene name: leukocyte surface antigen CD53-like
Exons: 6
Source: RefSeq, a predicted model, not a curated record